GACGAACGCUGGCGGCGUGCUUAACACAUGCAAGUCGAACGGAAAGGCCCUGCUUUUGUGGGGUGCUCGAGUGGCGAACGGGUGAGUAACACGUGAGUAACCUGCCCUUGACUUUGGGAUAACUUCAGGAAACUGGGGCUAAUACCGGAUAGGAGCUCCUGCUGCAUGGUGGGGGUUGGAAAGUUUCGGCGGUUGGGGAUGGACUCGCGGCUUAUCAGCUUGUUGGUGGGGUAGUGGCUUACCAAGGCUUUGACGGGUAGCCGGCCUGAGAGGGUGGCCGGCCACAAUGGGGCUGGGGUACCGCCCCGAACUCCUCGGGGGGGAGCAGGUGGGGAUAUUUGAACAUGGGCGGGAGGCCGAAUGAGCAACGCCGGCUGCCGGAAUAACGCCCUUGGGUUGGAAACCGGCUUUGGCCUGUACCAAGGCGUAGGUACCGUUAUUGGUAAAAGAGGCACCGCCUACUUCCGU
RNAcentral lists this ribosomal RNA (468 nucleotides) under uncultured bacterium. RNAcentral's name for it is "partial 16S ribosomal RNA". It matches the Rfam family "Bacterial small subunit ribosomal RNA", at positions 28 to 506 of the family's 1533-position model. The record is from RNAcentral.